GAUCUUGGACAAUGGGGGGAACCCUGAUCCAGCGACGCCGCGUGAGUGAAGAAGUAUUUCGGUAUGUAAAGCUCUAUCAGCAGGGAAGAAAGAAGACGGUACCUGACCAAGAAGCCCCGGCUAACUACGUGCCAGCAGCCGCGGUAAUACGUAGGGGGCAAGCGUUAUCCGGAUUUACUGGGUGUAAAGGGAGCGUAGACGGUGGUGCAAGUCUGGAGUGAAAGGCAGGGGCUCAACCCCUGGACGGCUCUGGAAACUGUAUGACUGGAGUGCAGGAGAGGUAAGUGGAAUUCCUAGUGUAGCGGUGAAAAGCGUAGAUAUUAGGAGGAACACCAGUGGCGAAGGCGGCUUACUGGACUGUAACUGACGUUGGGGCUCGAAAGCGUGGGGAGCAAA
RNAcentral lists this ribosomal RNA (396 nucleotides) under uncultured bacterium. RNAcentral's name for it is "bacterial SSU rRNA". It matches the Rfam family "Bacterial small subunit ribosomal RNA", at positions 359 to 772 of the family's 1533-position model. The record is from RNAcentral.